RNAcentral lists this ribosomal RNA (632 nucleotides) under Macrolaimus sp. SK-29. RNAcentral's name for it is "eukaryotic LSU rRNA". It matches the Rfam family "Eukaryotic large subunit ribosomal RNA", at positions 69 to 613 of the family's 3401-position model. Lineage: Eukaryota; Metazoa; Nematoda; Chromadorea; Rhabditida; Chambersiellidae. The record is from RNAcentral.
GGCGGAUUCCGAAUAGUACGGCGAGUGACUCGGAAAGCCCAGCGCUAAUCGCACUGCUUUUGUAGUGUGAUUCCGUGUAGCGUAUAGAGCGUAUUUUCCUAAGCCGACGUCGAUUUCCGUCUUCUAUGACUAGGGCUCCGCAGAAGGUUAUAGACCUGUCCAAUCGUCGUCGGUGGUGGAGCGUGCGUUCUUGGAGUCGGGUUGCUCGGGAUCGCAGCCCGAAGUAGGUGGUAAACUUCAUCUAAGGCUAAAUACGGCCACGAAACCGAUAGCAAACAAGUACCGUGAGGGAAAGUUGCAAAGCACUUUGAAGAGAGAGUUCAAGAGGACGUGAAACCGAUGAGAUGGAAACGGAAAGAGGUACCGAACAUGCUCGUAUUCCGCUGCCUUUUUGCGUGUGCCUUGCCUUUGCGAUCCCGCUAGGGUUGUGAGGGAGUCUUCCUGCGGACUGGCAGUGCAUUUGCGAGUAAUGGCGCUGCCGCGUGUGGUAGGUCAUCUGAUGUGCGAUUAGAGGACUCCUUUUGGAGAAACCUGGUUGCCCGGAUGUUGAUUUCGAACUGCCUGUUGAGGAACUGGCCAACGGGGGGGGGUUGCUAAGGUCGUUCCUGGCGUAAAUCCAGGCGAUUUGCCCU